AGCAAAGCCCUUGAACCCUGCGAGGACUCUCAGCUUUUUUCCUUCUCUCUUCUACCACAGGUGCUGGCCUUGAGGGGAAUACUGUUUCCUGUAGAAAGGAGCAGGGGACAGGGAGCCAGAGUAAAGAUCUUCUUGAAGUUAUGGGCAUUGCAACCCCACUUACGGCUGCCAACUUCUCCCAGUCAGAGAUGUCACAGGGUUCACCUCCCUGCUUUCUGCAGCACAUCCUUAAUCAGCUCUUCAGCAAAUCCACGGGCAGAGGACUCCCUUACUUCGUGCUUGCCAGUGAAGAAUGGAUUACACAUGUCCUUUCCCACCGACACUUCUAAGUCACUUUUCUUGUCGUCCGGCUUUGGGUCAUGGUCACCAGCCCAUCCUGGCUGGAAUGGUGCUCCUUGCUGCUGCCCUAAAACGGUCAGGGUCCUUGGAAGCUCCUUGGUCCCAGUAAAUGGGAAGAACGUUUCGUCUCACCAUGAACGUUUCUGUAGAUCAAUCUAAUGAGUGCAUAUUCUUUUUUUUUUCCUUGUACGUACUCAAAUA
Molecule: non-coding RNA, 540 nt
Organism: Myodes glareolus (Bank vole)
Lineage: Eukaryota; Metazoa; Chordata; Mammalia; Rodentia; Cricetidae
Source: RefSeq, a predicted model, not a curated record